This 468-nucleotide ribosomal RNA is filed under the name uncultured bacterium. RNAcentral describes it as "partial 16S ribosomal RNA". It matches the Rfam family "Bacterial small subunit ribosomal RNA", at positions 28 to 507 of the family's 1533-position model. The record is from RNAcentral.
GACGAACGCUGGCGGCGUGCUUAACACAUGCAAGUCGAACGGAAAGGCCCUGCUUUUGUGGGGUGCUUGAGUGGCGAACGGGUGAGUAACACGUGAGUAACCUGCCCUUGACUUUGGGAUAACUUCAGGAAACUGGGGCUAAUACCGGAUAGGAGCUCCUGCUGCAUGGUGGGGGUUGGAAAGUUUCGGCGGUUGGGGAUGGACUCGCGGCUUAUCAGCUUGUUGGUGGGGUAGUGGCUUACCAAGGCGUUGACGGGUAGCCGGCCUGAGAGGGUGACCGGCCACAUUGGGACUGAGAUACGGCCCAGACUCCUACGGGAGGCAGCAGUGGGGAAUAUUGCACAAUGGGCGGAAGCCUGAUGCAGCAACGCCGCGUGCGGGAUGACGGCCUUCGGGUUGUAAACCGCUUUCGCCUGUGACGAAGCGUGAGUGACGGUAAUGGGUAAAGAAGCACCGGCUAACUACGUG